AUGGUUCAUGAGAGCAACAAGGAGCACCUCUGGCCCUGGGUGCCCCCCACACUCAGUUUCAUAUCACUCUAUUCCCCAACUCGGUGGGGCUGCCCCCAUUCCUUGGCCCCUGGUCCCUGCACACCUCAGAACUGCCCCCAUUACCCCUUGAUAUUGCCCCUCCUCCCCUCAGAACUGUCCCUCCACUCCAGAACUGCCCUUGUGCCCUUCAGAACUGCCCCCUCAGCCCAGAACUGCUCCCAUACCCCAUAUCUGCCCAUCCCUGCUAUCCCUCAGUACUGCCUCCUCACACCCCUCACACCCCACAGAGCUUCCCCCUCACCCCACAGCUGCCCCCCACCCCGCAGAGCUGCCCAUACACAUCAAAACUGCCCCUUACAUCUGCCCCCUCCCCUCAGAUCUGCCCCUCACCUCCCAGAUCAGACCCUCAGAACUGCCCCUCUCCCCUCAGAUCUCACCUCUUUUCCCUCAAAUCUGCCCCUUACCUCACAUCUGCCCACACAGCUCAGAUCUGUCCCCCUCCCCUCACAUCUGCCACUCAAAACUGCCCCUUUCCCCUCAAAUCUGCCCCUCUCCUCUCAUAUCUGCCCCCCUCCCAUCUUCCUCUCUCCACUCACAGCCCUCGUAUCUACCCCUUUCCUCUCAUAUCUGCCCCUCACAUCCCUCAGAACUGCCCCUCUCCCCCCACAUCUGUCCAUACACCUCACAUCUGCCCCUUCUCCUCUCAAACCUGCUCCUCUCCUCUCAGAACUUCCCCUCUCUCCUACAUCUGCACUUCCUCUCAAAUCUGCCCCUCACAUCACCUCAGAUCUGCCCCAUUUCUCUCAAAUCUGCCCCUCUCACACCUCAGAUCUGCCCCUCACACCCCACAGAUCUGCUUCUUUCCUCUCACAUCUGCCCUCUCCUCUCAGAACUGCCCCCCUCCCCCCACACCUGCCCAUACACCUCACAUCUGCCCCCAAAGCUGCCCCUUUCCCCUCAAAUCUGCCCCUCAGAACUGCCUCUCUCCUCCAUCUGCCCCUCUCCUCUCAUAUCUGCCCUCACGCUCCCUCAGAACUGCCCACACCUUUCAUAUCUGCCCCUCUCCUCUCAAAUCUGCCCCUUUCCCCUCAGAUCUGCCCCUUUCCCCUCAAAUCUGCCCCUCACACCCCACAGAUCUGCCCCUAUUCUCUCAGAUCUGCCCCUUUCCCCUCAGAUCUGCCCCUCCCCCUCAAAUCUGCCCCUAUUCUCUCAGAUCUGCCCCUUUCCCCUCAGAUCUGCCCC
Molecule: long non-coding RNA, 1263 nt
Filed under: Chrysolophus pictus (golden pheasant)
Lineage: Eukaryota; Metazoa; Chordata; Aves; Galliformes; Phasianidae
Description: lncRNA (ENSCPIG00010003224.1)
Source: RNAcentral